GACGAACGCUGGCGGCGUGCCUAAUACAUGCAAGUCGAACGCUGAAGGAGGAGCUUGCUUCUCUGGAUGAGUUGCGAACGGGUGAGUAACGCGUAGGUAACCUGCCUGGUAGCGGGGGAUAACUAUUGGAAACGAUAGCUAAUACCGCAUAAGAGUAGAUGUUGCAUGACAUUUGCUUAAAAGGUGCAAUUGCAUCACUACCAGAUGGACCUGCGUUGUAUUAGCUAGUUGGUGGGGUAACGGCUCACCAAGGCGACGAUACAUAGCCGACCUGAGAGGGUGAUCGGCCACACUGGGACUGAGACACGGCCCAGACGCCUACGGGAGGCAGCAGUAGGGAAUCUUCGGCAAUGGACGGAAGUCUGACCGAGCAACGCCGCGUGAGUGAAGAAGGGUUUCGGAUCGUAAAGCUCUGUUGUAAGAGAAGAACGAGUGUGAGAGUGGAAAGUUCACACUGUGACGGUAUCUUACCAGAAAGGGACGGCUAACUACGUG
Molecule: ribosomal RNA, 495 nt
Filed under: uncultured bacterium
Lineage: Bacteria
Description: partial 16S ribosomal RNA
Rfam family: Bacterial small subunit ribosomal RNA
Source: RNAcentral